AUCUUUUCAUUCCAAAGGUUGCAUUCAAAUUCAAUAGCAGAAAAGGAAAGAAAAAUGAAAAGUUUCUCAGCAUUUGUUGUUCUUUUACUUGUUCUCUUCAACGCUUCUGCAGGUGAAUUUUACACCUUAAUUAGUUCUUCUUGUGUAGUAUUUAUUAUUAUUUUUUAAUCCAUCAAAUCUUUGAUUACAAUUGCGAUCUCUCACGUAUUUCGUUAUGGCAGAAAUUGGAUAAAAUAUAAAUUUUUAGCGAUUGAUUUUACACAAUGUUGAUAAUUUGGCAUAUGUUAACCUAUAAUUUAAUUCGGAUUAUUAAUCAUCUAUUUCGCAUUUGAUAAUUUAAUUUAAUUAUGGCAUGUGAUUUUUCAGGGGAUGCUCAAAGUUGUAAACUGAAAUUUCAUCCUCCUGGAGGAGAUUGCACCGUGCUUAAGUGUGCACCAGCUUGUGCUCAGGUCGGACCCAAUUGCAAGGGGCGCUGCUUAGAUAAUUUGAAUUGUUGUUGCAUUUGUCCACAACCACUUAAUAAUUAGGAUGUAACAAUUUUAUGGUGGAUUCCAAUUGAAUAAUAUUAAUAAAAUAAAAAUUCAAAUGUUGACCAAACCGUGGAAAAAAACAGUGAUAUAUCGCGUGCCGUUUACCCAUUUUCACUUGGGCGAUACACCGG
Molecule: long non-coding RNA, 661 nt
Filed under: Citrus maxima (pomelo)
Lineage: Eukaryota; Viridiplantae; Streptophyta; Magnoliopsida; Sapindales; Rutaceae
Description: long non-coding RNA (CMAX_LNC000394)
Source: RNAcentral